This 422-nucleotide ribosomal RNA is filed under the name uncultured bacterium. RNAcentral describes it as "bacterial SSU rRNA". It matches the Rfam family "Bacterial small subunit ribosomal RNA", at positions 102 to 520 of the family's 1533-position model. The record is from RNAcentral.
AAGGGUGCGUAACACGUAGGUAAUCUGCCGUGAAGACUGGGAUAACUUGCUGAAAGGCGAGCUAAUACCGGAUGUGAACGCAAGUUCAAAGUUGGGGACCGUAAGGCCUGACGCUUCACGAUGAGCCCGCGGCCUAUCAGCUAGUUGGUGAGGUAAUGGCUCACCAAGGCUAAGACGGGUAGCUGGUCUGAGAGGACGACCAGCCACACUGGAACUGAGACACGGUCCAGACACCUACGGGUGGCAGCAGUCGAGAAUUUUUCUCAAUGGGCGAAAGCCUGAAGGAGCGACGCCGCGUGGGGGAUGAAUGGCUUCGGCCCGUAAACCCCUGUCAUUUGCGAACAAAUUGUUUCACCUAACACGUGUAACAUUGAUUGUAGCGGAAGAGGAAGGGACGGCUAACUCUGUGCCAGCAGCCGCGG